This 305-nucleotide unclassified non-coding RNA is filed under the name plant metagenome. RNAcentral describes it as "partial contains 5.8S ribosomal RNA, internal transcribed spacer 2, and large subunit ribosomal RNA". The stretch from base 1 to 105 matches the Rfam family "5.8S ribosomal RNA", at positions 50 to 154 of the family's 154-position model. The record is from RNAcentral.
GAAAUGCGAUAAGUAAUGUGAAUUGCAGAAUUCAGUGAAUCAUCGAAUCUUUGAACGCACAUUGCGCCCGCCAGUAUUCUGGCGGGCAUGCCUGUUCGAGCGUCAUUUCAACCAUCAAGCCCCGGGCUUGUGUUGGGGACCUGCGGCUGCCCGCAGGCCCUGAAAAACAGUGGCGGGCUCGCUGUCACACCGAGCGUAGUAGCAUACAUUCUCGCUCAGGGCGUGCUGCGGGUUCCGGCCGUUAAACGACCUUCAUAACCCAAGGUUGACCUCGGAUCAGGUAGGAAGACCCGCUGAACUUAAGC